UACAGAGGUCUCAAGCGUUGUUCGGAUUCAUUGGGCGUAAAGGGUGCGUAGGUGGCAUGGUAAGUCGGAUGCGAAAUCCCGGGGCUCAACCCCGGAACUGCAUUCGAUACUGCUGCGCUAGAGUACUGGAGAGGAGAUUGGAAUUUACGGUGUAGCAGUGAAAUGCGUAGAUAUCGUAAGGAAGACCAGUGGCGAAGGCGGAUCUCUGGACAGUUACUGACACUGAGGCACGAAGGCCAGGGGAGCAAACGGG
RNAcentral lists this ribosomal RNA (253 nucleotides) under uncultured bacterium. Its description in RNAcentral is "partial 16S ribosomal RNA". It matches the Rfam family "Bacterial small subunit ribosomal RNA", at positions 524 to 776 of the family's 1533-position model. The record is from RNAcentral.